Small nucleolar RNA from Solanum dulcamara, 138 nucleotides. The record is from RefSeq and is a predicted model, not a curated record. NCBI's taxonomy places the organism in Eukaryota, Viridiplantae, Streptophyta, Magnoliopsida, Solanales, Solanaceae.
AUCCUAAAUAAGCUGAGUUAUAACAAGUGCUUAUUUGAUUCAUGGGAGACCUAAAUCAAAAUCACAAAUGGACGUUUUGCUGAUAACACCUUGCUCUUUUUUCAGGAGGCGUUUACUAGUAACUAUUCCCAUACAAUG